Molecule: ribosomal RNA, 253 nt
Filed under: uncultured bacterium
Lineage: Bacteria
Description: partial 16S ribosomal RNA
Rfam family: Bacterial small subunit ribosomal RNA
Source: RNAcentral
UACAGAGGGGGCAAGCGUUGUUCGGAAUUACUGGGCGUAAAGGGCGCGUAGGCGGCCGGUUAAGUCAGACGUGAAAUCCCCAGGCUCAACCUGGGAACUGCGUCUGAUACUGGAUGGCUUGAAUUCGGGAGAGGGAUGCAGAAUUCCAGGUGUAGCGGUGAAAUGCGUAGAUAUCUGGAGGAAUACCGGUGGCGAAGGCGGCAUCCUGGACCGACAUUGACGCUGAGGAGCGAAAGCUAGGGGAGCAAACGGG